UAGAAUGUAAAUGGUUUGUCAGGGAUCAA
This 29-nucleotide non-coding RNA is filed under the name Mus musculus (house mouse). The record is from RNAcentral. Lineage: Eukaryota; Metazoa; Chordata; Mammalia; Rodentia; Muridae.